This is a ribosomal RNA of 530 nucleotides. The stretch from base 396 to 530 matches the Rfam family "Bacterial large subunit ribosomal RNA", at positions 2473 to 2607 of the family's 2925-position model.
CAAAAACAUGUCUUUUUGAAAAUAAUAAAAAGUCUAAUCUGCCCACUGAAUUUAUUUAAAGGGCUGCAGUAUAUUGACUGUACAAAGGUAGCAUAAUCAAUAGUCUUUUAAUUGAAGACUUGUAUGAAUGAUUUGAUGAAAUAUGAACUGUCUCUUUUUUAAAAAUAAAAUUUAAUUUUUUAGUUAAAAAGCUAAAAUAAUUAUAAAAGACGAGAAGACCCUAUAGAGUUUUAUAGUUAUUUAAUUUAAAAAUUUUAUAUAUAAUUUAAAUUUAAAAUUAAUUAAUUAUUUUAUUGGGGUGAUAGAAAAAUUAAAAAAACUUUUUUUAAAAAUUUAACAUUAAUUUAUGAAAUUAUGAUCCAUAAUUUAUGAUUAAAAGAAUCAAUUACCUUAGGGAUAACAGCGUAAUUUUUUUUUUUAGUACAAAUAAGAAAAAGAGUUUGCGACCUCGAUGUUGGAUUAAGAUAAAAUUUAAAUGCAAAAGUUUAAAAUUUUUGAUCUGUUCGAUCAUUAAAAUCUUACAUGAUCUG